GUGCCAGCCACCGCGGUAAUACCGGCAGCCCAAGUGAUGGCCGAUCUUAUUGGGCCUAAAGCGUCCGUAGCUGGCUGCGCAAGUCCGUCGGGAAAUCCACUCGCUCAACGAGUGGCCGUCCGGUGGAAACUCCACACCUUGGGACCGGAAGGCUCGAAGGGUACGGCCGGGGUAGGAGUGAAAUCCUGUAAUCCCGUCCGGACCACCGAUGGCGAAAGCACUUCGAGAAAACGGAUCCGACAGUGAGGGACGAAAGCUCGGGUCUCAAACCGGAUUAGAUACCCCAGUAGUCC
This 293-nucleotide ribosomal RNA is filed under the name uncultured bacterium. RNAcentral's name for it is "partial 16S ribosomal RNA". It matches the Rfam family "Archaeal small subunit ribosomal RNA", at positions 455 to 747 of the family's 1478-position model. The record is from RNAcentral.